RNAcentral lists this ribosomal RNA (663 nucleotides) under Klebsiella pneumoniae. Its description in RNAcentral is "bacterial SSU rRNA". It matches the Rfam family "Bacterial small subunit ribosomal RNA", at positions 870 to 1533 of the family's 1533-position model. Lineage: Bacteria; Pseudomonadati; Pseudomonadota; Gammaproteobacteria; Enterobacterales; Enterobacteriaceae. The record is from RNAcentral.
CGCCUGGGGAGUACGGCCGCAAGGUUAAAACUCAAAUGAAUUGACGGGGGCCCGCACAAGCGGUGGAGCAUGUGGUUUAAUUCGAUGCAACGCGAAGAACCUUACCUGGUCUUGACAUCCACAGAACUUUCCAGAGAUGGAUUGGUGCCUUCGGGAACUGUGAGACAGGUGCUGCAUGGCUGUCGUCAGCUCGUGUUGUGAAAUGUUGGGUUAAGUCCCGCAACGAGCGCAACCCUUAUCCUUUGUUGCCAGCGGUCCGGCCGGGAACUCAAAGGAGACUGCCAGUGAUAAACUGGAGGAAGGUGGGGAUGACGUCAAGUCAUCAUGGCCCUUACGACCAGGGCUACACACGUGCUACAAUGGCAUAUACAAAGAGAAGCGACCUCGCGAGAGCAAGCGGACCUCAUAAAGUAUGUCGUAGUCCGGAUUGGAGUCUGCAACUCGACUCCAUGAAGUCGGAAUCGCUAGUAAUCGUAGAUCAGAAUGCUACGGUGAAUACGUUCCCGGGCCUUGUACACACCGCCCGUCACACCAUGGGAGUGGGUUGCAAAAGAAGUAGGUAGCUUAACCUUCGGGAGGGCGCUUACCACUUUGUGAUUCAUGACUGGGGUGAAGUCGUAACAAGGUAACCGUAGGGGAACCUGCGGUUGGAUCACCUCCUUA